AAGCUCUAUUGAAUUUCGGGAUCAAUACGUCGGUCGUGCCUUCGGUACGUACUGGCGUCGUUGAUUUCUCCCUUCUGAUGAACCAUGAUGUCAUUAAUUUGGUGUUGUGGGGAGUCAGGACUGUUACUUUGAAAAAAUUAGAGUGUUUAAAGCAAGCUCACGCUUGAAUACAUUAGCAUGGAAUAAUGAAAUAGGACGUUUGAUCCUAUUUUGUUGGUUUCUAGGAUUGACGUAAUGAUUAAUAGGGAUAGUUGGG
RNAcentral lists this ribosomal RNA (256 nucleotides) under uncultured Glomeraceae. RNAcentral's name for it is "partial small subunit ribosomal RNA". It matches the Rfam family "Eukaryotic small subunit ribosomal RNA", at positions 634 to 886 of the family's 1831-position model. The record is from RNAcentral. Lineage: Eukaryota; Fungi; Glomeromycota; Glomeromycetes; Glomerales; Glomeraceae.